GUAGAUGCUCAUCCUGCUUCUUGUGAUAGCUUUCAGCUUCAUAAACUAUUGGAUGACGCAGAGCCAAUUUGAUGUGCCUAUUGUCCACGUUAUCGAUGCAUAAUAUCCAUCACCAACCGGACGCAACGUUGAGUGAGGCACAAUCCGUCUAUAGACCUGAUUGUAUUUUGAUACCUAUCUUUUGAUAGGUUUUUUUUA
This 198-nucleotide small RNA is filed under the name Arsenophonus endosymbiont of Trialeurodes vaporariorum. RNAcentral describes it as "GlmZ_SraJ". It matches the Rfam family "GlmZ RNA activator of glmS mRNA". From Rfam's summary of the family: This RNA was discovered in E. coli during a large scale screen. The sraJ gene was expressed in early logarithmic phase, but its level decreased with cell growth. The record is from RNAcentral. Lineage: Bacteria; Pseudomonadati; Pseudomonadota; Gammaproteobacteria; Enterobacterales; Morganellaceae.